GGGGGGAGGCCGGAUCCUGGGCUGUGUCCCGGCGCCCUGUGCUCUGGGGCCUGCGCUGUUGGAUUCGCGCUCCCGCCCCGCAGCCCCCU
Molecule: non-coding RNA, 89 nt
Organism: Canis lupus familiaris (dog)
Lineage: Eukaryota; Metazoa; Chordata; Mammalia; Carnivora; Canidae
Source: Rfam